This 825-nucleotide long non-coding RNA is filed under the name Calidris pygmaea (Spoon-billed sandpiper). RNAcentral describes it as "lncRNA (ENSCPGG00000009470.1)". Lineage: Eukaryota; Metazoa; Chordata; Aves; Charadriiformes; Scolopacidae. The record is from RNAcentral.
AAUGUUUAGCAGAAAUAGCUUGUACUAGAAGAAUCACGAUGUUCCCAAAUUAUUUAUGGAAAUACAUGAGUUCUGAUAAAACUUUUAAACCUGCUAGAUUGCUGAUGUCCAGGAUGGACUUUGCUGAGGAAUUUAAAAGAGAAGAUUAUGGAGGAGAGAGAAAAGAGAUCCAAGAGUUAGUGAACUCAGAUGUGAAGGAAUGAGAUUCAAGUAUCAUUUAUUCAGACAGAGUUUUGACACAUAUGCAGGAAAAGAAAAUAUAAUUAUACAUUACAAAAAUUACUGGAUAAGAAAAUGAGCAAUUUGAUACAGAUUUGCUGUGUAAAAUUUGAGGUGCAAUAUUUGUAGUUAAACAUUUAUAUAAAUGAAAGCUGUGUGUAUAUUUCUGUACAAAUGAUGAAGGUGACCCUGAUUUAAGUCAUUCAAUAAAAGAACAUUUAAAUAUGUAAAUCAGAGAUGAAUUCAGUUUAGGGAGGGUUAUCAAAAAUAUCUGUUAUCUUUGAACAUGAACAUAUGCUCACUAUGCUAAUUCUGUAGGCUCCUUAGAUCAAAUGCUGGCGUGUUUCAGUGUUUUGCAUCACUUAAAAUUUUAACUUCAGAUUUCAUCCCCAGUUUUCCUUUUUUGUAUGCUUCUUUUUUUUUUCCUAUUACCAAAUGCCAAAUUAUGAAGGGCCAUCUGAAGUGAAAAAAUCUUACUGUAUUUCUCUGUUAGGCUUUAGAUGUUGCAUCUUGCUGUUUCCUGACCUGAGAACUGUCCAGAAGAAUAUGAGACCAGAUCUUGGCCACUCCGUAAACUCAGUUGGCUCAGACAUUGCACGAAAGUGA